Molecule: ribosomal RNA, 49 nt
Filed under: Symbiodinium sp. Amami1f
Lineage: Eukaryota; Dinophyceae; Suessiales; Symbiodiniaceae
Description: partial 28S ribosomal RNA
Source: RNAcentral
CCUAGCAUGAAGUCAGACAAGUGAACCCGCGGAAUUUAAGCAUAUCAAU